Molecule: long non-coding RNA, 1184 nt
Organism: Peromyscus eremicus (cactus mouse)
Lineage: Eukaryota; Metazoa; Chordata; Mammalia; Rodentia; Cricetidae
Exons: 2
Source: RefSeq, a predicted model, not a curated record
GAGGAAGAAGAAGAGGAGAAGGAAGAGGAGGAGGAAGCCAUUUGUGGUCAAUUCUCUCUACCCAUUUCUAUAAAAACCUAUGGCGUUGAGGCUGAGUGUUGCUUCUCCACACGGUCUUUUUUGUUCAACCACUAAGGAUCUCUGGCUCCUCUGUCCACAUACUUCAACCAAGGCAAUGCACAGCAACACAUUGAUGCAAAAAGAGCCGGGAGAGUCCAAACAUCAAAUCAAGUGCUGUAACAGGCCCCAAGACCAUAGCACACCUGACACCAUGAUGGAAUUCAGGCCUUGGAAGCCAGCAUGUAUGCAGCAAUACCUACCAAAACCAGAAUAAACACCUAACCCAUCCAAGUCCAUAGUUCUGGGAAAGUCCCUGAAGGCAUUAACCUUGCUUGCUUUUUGACUUCUGUAGUGCUGCUUCCGGCUAAUUGGUUUUGGUAACUGAGGUGUGUCAACCCAGGAGGUGGUUUUGUGCUUAAAAGCCCGCUAGCUAAUGAACACUUUCCAUUGGCUUGAACCCAUGUCCAAUUGGUCUUCUCUGGUGAAUACCUCACAACAGUGCAAAGGGGUCCUAAAGUCAAUAGUGUUGAAAACUGCCAAGCAAAAUAUCUGAGUUCCUGGUCCAGGGUCCCCUCACUAACAAGUACUGAGUUCAGUCCAUCGAUUUGGAAUAAAACAGGAGACCAGGCUAGAUAGUGUGGACAAUACAGGCUGAAACAGGCACCAAGACACUGCUUUUGCCAACAAGCAUUGACACUACUCUUGAGUACUCAAAAAGACACACAGAUAACUCAUUGUUCUAAACUUGAGGCUGCCUUGGGUCCCAGAAACAACAGAGCAUCACAGACAGAUCACCAUCAAUAAGAGCAGUAUCCAUGAGGGUGAGGCUAUAUCCUCAAACAGAAGUCAUUGCCUCCUGAGAACCAGGUUGCCCAUCCUCCCACACCUCUAACCUGAGCAAUGACUUCUUAAGACCACAUGCCAAACCUAAACUGAGAGACACGACCAUACCAUGAGCAGGAUUUUUUGUAUGUCUCUUGUCCCCCUGAUACAGUUCUAUUUAAAUCUAAAAUUCAUGUCAGGACCUCAAAGAUAGACCUGUGGGUCACUGGACCCUUUUAUAUGCUCCUCUUUCUAAUAUGGCCACACUAAAUAAAUCUCCUCUAGGGGAAAGACAAGCAUGA